AUUUAUGCCCAUCGCCGCCUUGUGUGUCUCCAGCUCUCGCCCCGUGUGCCUCCUGAGAUUCCAGCUCCUGCCGAGAGCGCGCGGCGGCGGAGGGAAGCCGCGAGGCCAGACUGUGUUACUACGUCUUCCUUCAUCCUUCCAGGCUGACGCGGGUUUUAGGGUAUUGUCAUCCAAGGCCGGAGGAAGCGCUCAGAUUCUGCUCCCGGACCAUCUUCCCCUUCUCCCGAGGUAUUUAGUAUGCCUGGGAGAUCUGCCAGGAGAGUCGCUGAAAUCAAAGCAAACAACCAUCACAAAGGAGCAGAGAGGAAUCGAUGGGCUAAGAAAAAGAUGAGGGCUGCUUGUUCCUCAUGGACAAGCCUAAUGAGGUGCUGGAGGAGUUGUGGAGUUCUGUGCUCCAGGCCACAUCAGCUAUGCUGCGCGGAGAUGGCGCGGGGAGAAGAAAGGGAUGCAGCUCCCGGGCGCCCUGCCACGGACUCCCCCGUGAACCUGAGCUCCUUCCACAAACUGGGAGCAUGCUUCCUUUUGCUCAGAAGCCUGAAGCAAAGGAUCUUGGGUGCUUGGGGUCUUCAGAUGACUGCCUCCCCAGAAACCUUUCGGGGGAACAAGAAGAGGCAGCUUCCGGCAGGAACCAGCCAUGAUCCCAGCUGGUUCCUCGCUCCAGGGACUUCAAAGCUGAGACUCAGGGCAGAGCUGGGAUUCCAGAGAUGGCCCUCCUGGAGACUCACACCUGGAGCAGUGACCAUGCCUCUCCCCCUGCAGGGAACUGGAGGACCCAUGGGGCUCCUGUCCCUCCAAUUUUCAUCCUCCUCUGCAAUCAAGUCAGGCUGGGUCCUCCCUGAGUGUCAGGAUCACCAUCUGCUUUCCUGGGCAGCUUUAAAAUACUCAAAGUUA
Molecule: long non-coding RNA, 891 nt
Organism: Odocoileus virginianus texanus
Lineage: Eukaryota; Metazoa; Chordata; Mammalia; Artiodactyla; Cervidae
Source: RefSeq, a predicted model, not a curated record